GUUAUUUCAAAAUUAUUAAUAAUUAUUUUUAUUGCAUUAACAGGGUGAAAGCAAUCAAAAUAUUUACAUCAGCAUUAGAAUUAGAAUUAAACUACACAUGCAUUCUGAAUAAGUAUAAGCCAUUUUUUUUUUCUUAUAUUUGAAGGGAUCUUGAUCUGCAUACUAAAUGGCGAUGGUUGACUAAGAAGUCUUGUCGUUAGCUCAACAACCUAGCUAUGUUUAGUUCAAUUGCUUAAUAGCAGUCUUUAGCUUAAGGUUUAAGUCUUUAGCUCAGU
Molecule: non-coding RNA, 275 nt
Organism: Biomphalaria pfeifferi
Lineage: Eukaryota; Metazoa; Mollusca; Gastropoda; Planorbidae
Source: the annotation of a GenBank genome assembly